CUUGGUCAUUUAGAGGAAGUAAAAGUCGUAACAAGGUUUCCGUAGGUGAACCUGCGGAAGGAUCAUUUGUGAGGGGUUAAUCCCUAAACAUAUCCAAUACAUUGUGAAUUGUGAUUGGCUUCGGCCACUACAAACUAUGUGUAAUGAAAGUAUCCUAUUGUAAUUUAUAAAACUUUCAACAACGGAUCUCUUGGCUCUCGCAUCGAUGAAGAACGCAGCGAAAUGCGAUAAGUAAUGUGAAUUGCAGAAUUCAGUGAAUCAUCGAAUCUUUGAACGCAACUUGCACCUUUUGGUAUUCCGAAAGGUAUGCCUGUUUGAGUGUCUGAAAUUAACCGUGUGUUUUGCACCGGAUUUGGGUAAUGCAAUUAGGUUGCUUGCCUUAAAUAGAUUAGUCGGAAUUUUCCCAAGUAACAAAGCGUAAUAAGUUUCGCUACGUGAAACGGAUUGAAGCUGGCUUCUAAUCGCCGUUUGGCAAUUUUUAGAUUUAGACCUCAAAUCAGGUAGGACUACCCGCUGAACUUAAGCAUAUCAAUAAGCGGAGGAGAAGAAACUAACAAGGAUUCCCCUAGUAACGGCGAGUGAAGCGGGAAAAGCUCAAAUUUGAAAUCGAAUAUCCUUCGGGUGUUCGAGUUGUAAUCUAGAGAAGUGUUUUCUGUGCUGGACUGUAUUCAAGUUCCUUGGAAUAGGAUAUCAAAGAGGGUGAGAAUCCCGUGCUUAAUACAAUCCCCAGUGCUCUGUGAUACACUUCCAAAGAGUCGAGUUGUUUGGGAAUGCAGCUCUAAAUGGGUGGUAAAUUCCAUCUAAAGCUAAAUAUUGGCGAGAGACCGAUAGCGAACAAGUACCGUGAGGGAAAGAUGAAAAGCACUUUGGAAAGAGAGUUAAAAGUGCGUGAAAUUGUUGAAAGGGAAACGAUUGAAGUCAGUCGUAUUGGAAAAGCUCAAUUAGCUUCUGCUAAUGUACUCUUUUCUAAUGGGUCAACAUCAGUUUGAAUAGGUGGAUAAGGAUAGUAGGAAACUCCUUGGAGUGUAAUCCCUGCUGUCGUAUACAUUUGUUUAGACUGAGGAACGCAGCUUGCCUUAUGGAUGGGGUUCGUCCCACACACAAGCUUAGGAUGUUGACAUAAUGGCUUUAAACGACCCGUCUUGAAACACGGACC
This 1156-nucleotide ribosomal RNA is filed under the name uncultured fungus. Its description in RNAcentral is "eukaryotic LSU rRNA". The stretch from base 487 to 1156 matches the Rfam family "Eukaryotic large subunit ribosomal RNA", at positions 1 to 667 of the family's 3401-position model. Lineage: Eukaryota; Fungi. The record is from RNAcentral.